This 79-nucleotide transfer RNA is filed under the name Veillonella sp. S13053-19. RNAcentral describes it as "tRNA-Arg". The stretch from base 13 to 76 matches the Rfam family "tRNA". Rfam says of the family: Transfer RNA (tRNA) molecules are approximately 80 nucleotides in length. Lineage: Bacteria; Bacillati; Bacillota; Negativicutes; Veillonellales; Veillonellaceae. The record is from RNAcentral.
GAUUAACAGCGUGGUUGAGCGAUUUUAGUACGGCCUUCUAAGCCGUGGGUCGGGGGUUCGAAUCCCUCCUGGAUCACCA